CCACCUACGGGUGGCAGCAGUUUCGAAUCAUUCACAAUGGGCGAAAGCCUGAUGGUGCGACGCCGCGUGAGGGAUGAAGGUCUUCGGAUUGUAAACCUCUGUCACCGGGGAAGAAACGCUUUGAGUUAAUAGUUCAAAGCCUGACUUAACCCGGAGAGGAAGCAGUGGCUAACUCUGUGCCAGCAGCCGCGGUAAUACAGAGACUGCAAGCGUUAUUCGGAUUCACUGGGCGUAAAGGGUGCGCAGGCGGCCGUGUGUGUUGGGCGUGAAAGCCCGGGGCUUAACCCCGGAAUUGCACCCAAAACUACAUGGCUAGAGCAUUGGAGAGGGUAGCGGAAUUCACGGUGUAGCAGUGAAAUGCGUAGAUAUCGUGAGGAACACCAGAGGCGAAGGCGGCUACCUGGACAAUUGCUGACGCUCAGGCACGAAAGCGUGGGGAGCAAAAGGGAUUAGAUACCCCUGUAGUCCACGCCCUAAACGGUGCACACUAGGUCUUGGCGGAUUCGACCCCACCAGGGCCCAAGCUAACGCGUUAAGUGUGCCGCCUGAGGACUACGGCCGCAAGGCUAAAACUCAAAGGAAUUGACGGGGGCCCGCACAAGCGGUGGAGUAUGUGGCUCAAUUCGAUGCAACGCGAAGAACCUUACCUGGCCUUGACAUGCAGGAGACCGGCGCUGAAAGGCGCCUUUCCUUCGGGACUGCUGCACAGGUGCUGCAUGGCUGUCGUCAGCUCGUGUCGUGAGAUGUUGCGUUAAGUCGCGCAACGAGCGCAACCCCUGUCCUUAGUUGCCAUCAUUAAGUUGGGCACUCUAGGGAGACAAACCCUCUUUGAGGGUGGGAAGGUGGGGAUGACGUCAAGUCAGGAUGGCCCUUACGGCCAGGGCUGCACACGUACUACAAUGCCCGGUACAGAGGGAAGCAAUACCGCGAGGUGGAGCAAAUCCUCAAAACCGGGCCCAGUUCAGAUUGUAGUCUGCAACUCGACUACAUGAAGUUGGAAUCGCUAGUAAUGGCGCAUCAGCUACGGCGCCGUGAAUACGUUCCCGGGCCUUGUACACACCGCCCGUCACGUCAUGAAAGCCGGUUUCGCCCGAAGUGCGUUUGCCAACCAGCAAUGGAGGCGGCGCCCUAAGGUGAGGCUGGUGAUUGGGACGAAGUCGUAACAAGGUAACCGUAGGGGAACCUGCGGUUG
This 1192-nucleotide ribosomal RNA is filed under the name metagenome. RNAcentral's name for it is "bacterial SSU rRNA". It matches the Rfam family "Bacterial small subunit ribosomal RNA", at positions 335 to 1520 of the family's 1533-position model. The record is from RNAcentral.